UCUAGUCAACCAAAAGCUCAAGAAAUAUCUUAACAUUUUCAAUACAAAAGGAGUUGUUUACACAUUGAUGAUGACAUCUUCAUAAUCAAUGAUUUUUUGAAGUACCAAAACAUGCUAUUUGACCUCUUAUCCGCUUUUUAUAUUGUCUCGAAAAUCCUUCUUUGAGCAAUCUAAUUGUACAAAAACAAAUCCAUCUCACCACUCUGUUUAUGUGUGUGGGUAGAAGAUUCCAAUAUUAUUGUACCUUGUGCAUUGGUAGAUUGUACCUCCCAAUCACUCAGUCUUUACCUAUUGUCAAGAUUUUGAUGGAGAUGUAUAAACAUGCGCUUGUGUGUGUGGGACCCAGCUAGAGGAGAUGCGGCUAUCAUGUAAAAGCCAGCAAAACGAGCCACGACGCCAAUAAGUAAGACCGAUAUCCAAAAUCAAGAUCGAAACGUUAGCAACCUAAUUGAAACCAAAAUCUUAGCCUAAACCCCUAAAACAAAAUUAAACCCAAAUAGAAAACCAAUUGUUUGUGUUUGUGGAACCCCAAAAUGUGCGUUUUUUCUUUAUGUAAGGAUAGAGGGCGGUGGAUCCUACCUCUAAUAAUGUUGCUUCUCGCCUCUCCAUUGUUGCCUCGUACAGUGCCUUAUGAGGCAGCAACAUCUAUUUUCUCCGGUGAUGCUGCCUUCCUUCCCCCAGUGAUCUGAAAAAAAUACAACCUCAAUUUGUAAGCAUUUAAAACACACACACACACACACAAAAAUACACUAGAACUAGGCGGUGAAGUCCUCACGUCAUCUUCUCUUCCAUCUUCUUUUCAGCCUCCUCAACGCCCAUCGCCAUCUCCUCGAUCUUCACUGACUCACGUUGUGGCGUCGAUUAAAUUUCUCGUCGCCGUCUGUUAUCUGCCGUUGUUGGACGGAGAAAGUUAAAAAGGGAACCAGGGUGUUUGGAUUCCUUUUUAAGUUUUCCAAAAAGUGAAAACAUUAUUAAAAGUUGUUUCACAAAAUAAAAAGAUCUUUUAAAAUCAAAUUUUAAUAAGAAGGAAAAGUUGGUUGAAGAAAAAAUAAGAAUUGUUAUCUUUUUGUGGCUUUUAGCUUUUAUCACUUAAAAUCAUAAAAAACAAGUCAAACACAUUUUAAACAUAAUCUUUUAGAAAAAGUUUUUCUACAGAAAGUCUUUUAUAAAAAAGACUUUUAUGUUUAAAAAGAAAUCUCAAACACACCCUUGAUGUCAUUAGUGUAUCCGACCGGGUAAAAAGUGAAAAAGGUUAAAAAAAUAUAGACA
This 1269-nucleotide long non-coding RNA is filed under the name Lactuca sativa (garden lettuce). RNAcentral describes it as "long non-coding RNA (LSAT_LNC008084)". Lineage: Eukaryota; Viridiplantae; Streptophyta; Magnoliopsida; Asterales; Asteraceae. The record is from RNAcentral.